GAUGAACGCUGGCGGCGUGCCUAAUACAUGCAAGUCGAGCGAACAGAUGAGGAGCUUGCUCCUCUGACGUUAGCGGCGGACGGGUGAGUAACACGUGGAUAACCUACCUAUAAGACUGGGAUAACUUCGGGAAACCGGAGCUAAUACCGGAUAAUCUAUUGAACCGCAUUGUUCAAUAGUGAAAGACGGUUUUGCUGUCACUUAUAGAUGGAUCCGCGCCGCAUUAGCUAGUUGGUAAGGUAACGGCUUACCAAGGCAACGAUGCGUAGCCGACGUGAGAGGGUGAUCGGCCACACUGGAACUGAGACACGGUCCAGACGCCUACGGGAGGCAGCAGUAGGGAAUCUGCCGCAAUGGGCGAAAGCCUGACGGAGCAACGCCGCGUGAGUGAUGAAGGUCUUCGGAUCGUAAAACUCUGUUAUGAGGGAAGAACAAAUGUGUAAGUAACUAUGCACGUCUUGACGGUACCUAAUCAGAAAGCCACGGCUAACUACGUG
Molecule: ribosomal RNA, 497 nt
Filed under: uncultured bacterium
Lineage: Bacteria
Description: partial 16S ribosomal RNA
Rfam family: Bacterial small subunit ribosomal RNA
Source: RNAcentral